RNAcentral lists this ribosomal RNA (424 nucleotides) under uncultured bacterium. RNAcentral's name for it is "bacterial SSU rRNA". It matches the Rfam family "Bacterial small subunit ribosomal RNA", at positions 358 to 773 of the family's 1533-position model. The record is from RNAcentral.
GGAAUUGUUCGCAAUGGGCGCAAGCCUGACGACGCAACGCCGCGUGGAGGAUGAAGAUUUUCGGAUCGUAAACUCCUGUCGAAUGGGACGAAUAGAUUGCGGGUUAACAGCCCGUAGUCCUGACGGUACCGUUAAAGGAAACCCCGGCUAACUCCGUGCCAGCAGCCGCGGUAAUACAGAGGGUGCAAGCGUUAAUCGGAUUUACUGGGCGUAAAGCGUGCGUAGGCGGUUCAGUAUGUCGGUCGUGAAAUCCCCGGGCUCAACCUGGGAACUGCGGCCGAAACUGCUGGGCUUGAGUGUGGUAGAGGGCGGUGGAAUUCCGGGUGUAGCGGUGAAAUGCGUAGAGAUCCGGAGGAACAUCAAUGGCGAAGGCAGCCGCCUGGGCCACAACUGACGCUGAGGUACGAAAGCGUGGGGAGCAAAC